Molecule: ribosomal RNA, 871 nt
Filed under: Microbacterium sp.
Lineage: Bacteria; Bacillati; Actinomycetota; Actinomycetes; Micrococcales; Microbacteriaceae
Description: bacterial SSU rRNA
Rfam family: Bacterial small subunit ribosomal RNA
Source: RNAcentral
GCUCUGGUGGAUUAGUGGCGAACGGGUGAGUAACACGUGAGCAACCUGCCCUGGACUCUGGGAUAAGCGCUGGAAACGGCGUCUAAUACUGGAUACGAGACGUGGCCGCAUGGUCAACGUUUGGAAAGAUUUUUCGGUCUGGGAUGGGCUCGCGGCCUAUCAGCUUGUUGGUGAGGUAAUGGCUCACCAAGGCGUCGACGGGUAGCCGGCCUGAGAGGGUGACCGGCCACACUGGGACUGAGACACGGCCCAGACUCCUACGGGAGGCAGCAGUGGGGAAUAUUGCACAAUGGGCGGAAGCCUGAUGCAGCAACGCCGCGUGAGGGAUGACGGCCUUCGGGUUGUAAACCUCUUUUAGCAGGGAAGAAGCGUGAGUGACGGUACCUGCAGAAAAAGCGCCGGCUAACUACGUGCCAGCAGCCGCGGUAAUACGUAGGGCGCAAGCGUUAUCCGGAAUUAUUGGGCGUAAAGAGCUCGUAGGCGGUUUGUCGCGUCUGCUGUGAAAUCCCGAGGCUCAACCUCGGGCCUGCAGUGGGUACGGGCAGACUAGAGUGCGGUAGGGGAGAUUGGAAUUCCUGGUGUAGCGGUGGAAUGCGCAGAUAUCAGGAGGAACACCGAUGGCGAAGGCAGAUCUCUGGGCCGUAACUGACGCUGAGGAGCGAAAGGGUGGGGAGCAAACAGGCUUAGAUACCCUGGUAGUCCACCCCGUAAACGUUGGGAACUAGUUGUGGGGUCCUUUCCACGGAUUCCGUGACGCAGCUAACGCAUUAAGUUCCCCGCCUGGGGAGUACGGCCGCAAGGCUAAAACUCAAAGGAAUUGACGGGGACCCGCACAAGCGGCGGAGCAUGCGGAUUAAUUCGAUGCAACGCG